AACGCAUAUGGCACCCGAGACUUCGGUCGAGGGUAUGUCUGUCUCAGAGUCGACGUAAAAAAAUCCCCAGAGGAAGACCUCCGCGUCGUCCUCUCGGGGGAGCUGGCCCUCCCGGGGGUUGCGGUUAGUAGCCGCUCCUCCCCGGGUGAGCUGAAGGUGAGAGACGGGGGACCGCUCGCGUUGGGCGACACGAUUUUGGUGGGAGGACCUCGCGUCCGCAUCACAGAUCGGCUAGCCCCUCGAAAGCUUGCGGUCAACGUGGACCCCGCCACUGCAGGAUACAGGGAAGCAGGGCAACCUCUUCUUAUGUUUUCGACCUGAGAUCAGGCAAGAUCACCCGCUGAACUUAA
RNAcentral lists this unclassified non-coding RNA (350 nucleotides) under uncultured fungus. RNAcentral describes it as "partial contains 5.8S ribosomal RNA, internal transcribed spacer 2, and large subunit ribosomal RNA". The record is from RNAcentral. Lineage: Eukaryota; Fungi.